RNAcentral lists this long non-coding RNA (392 nucleotides) under Piliocolobus tephrosceles (Ugandan red Colobus). RNAcentral describes it as "lncRNA (ENSPTEG00000004461.1)". Lineage: Eukaryota; Metazoa; Chordata; Mammalia; Primates; Cercopithecidae. The record is from RNAcentral.
CAAAAUAAAGACACCAAAAUAAAGACAUCAAAAUAAAGACAUGGAAAUAAAAAUAUUAUUAAAGUAGUUUAUUAGUAUAUAUACCAUAAAUUUUUUUUUAUUAUAUAUAUAUAUAUAUAUAUAUAUAUAUAUAUAUUUAGUUAGUUAGAUUAAUUCAUAAUGAAAAGGAAAAACACAAAUACUUUAAUAUACUUCAUGACAAUGAUAAAAAAGACCCAGUAUCCUAUAUCCACGGUGAAAAAAGUGAUAAAAACAUAGAGCAAAUAGACAUUUUUACCACUGAUAAACUAAAUACAAAUACGACACAAUUAAUUGAUAUUCAACAAGAAGUAAUUUUAAUAUUAUUUUUAUUUCUUUCUUCUAUUUCUUAUAUGUGUGUAUUUCAUUCAAUU